GACGAACGCUGGUGGCGUGCCUAAUACAUGCAAGUCGAGCGGACCAAUAGAAGCUUGCUUCUGUUGGUUAGCGGCGGACGGGUGAGUAACACGUGGGCAACCUGCCUGUAAGACUGGGAUAACUUCGGGAAACCGGAGCUAAUACCGGAUAAUUCAUCCCCUCGCAUGAGGGGAUGCUGAAAGUCGGUUUACGCUGACACUUACAGAUGGGCCCGCGGCGCAUUAGCUAGUUGGUGAGGUAAUGGCUCACCAAGGCGACGAUGCGUAGCCGACCUGGGAGGGUGAUCGGCCACACUGGGACUGAGACACGGCCCAGACUCCUACGGGAGCCAGCAGUAGGGAAUCUUCCACAAUGGACGAAAGUCUGAUGGAGCAACGCCGCGUGAGCGAUGAAGGCCUUCGGGUCGUAAAGCUCUGUUGUUAGGGAAGAACAAGUAUCGGAGUAACUGCCGGUACCUUGACGGUACCUAACCAGAAAGCCACGGCUAACUACGUGCCAGCCGCCGCAGUAA
This 512-nucleotide ribosomal RNA is filed under the name uncultured bacterium. RNAcentral's name for it is "partial 16S ribosomal RNA". It matches the Rfam family "Bacterial small subunit ribosomal RNA", at positions 28 to 523 of the family's 1533-position model. The record is from RNAcentral.